GAUGAACGCUGGCGGCGUGCCUAAUACAUGCAAGUCGAGCGAACAGACGAGGAGCUUGCUCCUCUGACGUUAGCGGCGGACGGGUGAGUAACACGUGGAUAACCUACCUAUAAGGCUGGGAUAACUUCGGGAAACCGGAGCUAAUACCGGAUAAUAUAUUGAACCGCAUGGUUCAAUAGUGAAAGACGGUUUUGCUGUCACUUAUAGAUGGAUUCGCGCCGCAUUAGCUAGUUGGUAAGGUAACGGCUUACCAAGGCAACGAUGCGUAGCCGACCUGAGAGGGUGAUCGGCCACACUGGAACUGAGACACGGUCCAGACUCCUACGGGAGGCAGCAGUAGGGAAUCUUCCGCAAUGGGCGAAAGCUUGACGGAGCAACGCCGCGUGAGUGAUGAAGGUCUUCGGAUCGUAAAACUCUGUUAUUAGGGAAGAACAAAUGUGUAAGUAACUAUGCACGUCUUGACGGUACCUAAUCAGAAAGCCACGGCUAACUACGUG
Molecule: ribosomal RNA, 497 nt
Filed under: uncultured bacterium
Lineage: Bacteria
Description: partial 16S ribosomal RNA
Rfam family: Bacterial small subunit ribosomal RNA
Source: RNAcentral